Molecule: ribosomal RNA, 429 nt
Filed under: Pseudomonadota bacterium
Lineage: Bacteria; Pseudomonadati; Pseudomonadota
Description: Proteobacteria bacterium partial 16S ribosomal RNA
Rfam family: Bacterial small subunit ribosomal RNA
Source: RNAcentral
UGGGGAAUAUUGGACAAUGGGCGAAAGCCUGAUCCAGCCAUGCCGCGUGUGUGAAGAAGGUCUUCGGAUUGUAAAGCACUUUAAGAUGGGAGGAAGGGCAGUAAGCGAAUACCUUGCUGUUUUGACGUUACCGACAGAAUAAGCACCGGCUAACUCUGUGCCAGCAGCCGCGGUAAUACAGAGGGUGCAAGCGUUAAUCGGAAUUACUGGGCGUAAAGCGCGCGUAUGUGGUUCGUUAAGUUGAAUGUGAAAGCCCCGGGCUCAACCUGGGAACUGCAUCCAAAACUGGCGAGCUAGAGUAGGGCAGAGGGUGGUGGAAUUUCCUGUGUAGCGGUGAAAUGCGUAGAUAUAGGAAGGAACACCAGUGGCGACGGCGACCACCUGGGCUCAUACUGACACUGAGGUGCGAAAGCGUGGAGAGCAAACAGG